UCGUGUUUAAUAUUUUUCAAAACUUCUGCAAAAUAUACAAUAUAUGAACACAGACAACCAGAAAACCUAUAAAACUUUUAAAACCAUAGACAGGCCAAUUGAGCUUAAGUGCAAAUUUACGAUUAAAUAGUAACAAUAAAUUUGAUAGUUCAAAAAGACGUCUAUCUUUGUGAAAAUUGUCUUAUUUACCCUGGGUUAAACAUCUGCUCUCUGAUAUUUGUGCAAUAAUAAAAACUGUUUAUUUUUUCCUGUCCUUGAAUAAAGCACAAACAAAAGGUUGCGCUUUUUUUUUUUUUUUUUUUUUGAUAUUGCUACUAUGUUUUCACUAGAAAACGAAUAAUGAAAUCAUAUAUUAAAUGUUAAUCAUUCUGUUUAAUUAUUGAACCCCAAAAUGAGUAAACACGUUAAGACGGUAAAGUAGCCGUGAUUGCAUGUCUGUAAAUGUUUGCUUUUAGAGGAUUGUUACUGAGUGUAACACUUUAAUAAAGAAUUUCGAUGAAUUUGUUUAUUUAGCUACAACAACAUCGUUGAAAGCCUUGAUAUUGGUAUGGAAGUCACACAGAGCAACUCUUAUGACACACUAAUUUCAGCCAUGUGCACCUGUAAAUGUUAUUUAAAUUGUAGAAAAGGGUACUAUAUUCGACUAUCAAUAGUAUUCUAAUAACAAUACAUGCUUUAUCAACAUAUUAUUGGUUGAAACAUCUGGGUCAAUUUGUGAACAUAUAGUAGAAUUUGGCCUCGAUAUUGUUAAUGGGCAUACAUAUUUAUACACCUUUUCAUAGAUUUCCCCAGUACAAAAAAAAAAUGCGGUUUGUUUUAUAAAAUGCUACAUAAUGUUGAAAUAAUGUUUCGACUAAAUAGAAAGGACAUUGCAAGGAAAUGCGGAAAUAAAAUUCACUUAAGUUGAGGAAAAUCUUUAAAUUUUCUAGAAUUUAUUUUAAUACUGUCGAAUUUAAAUCCGUAGAUAUGGUCACAUUUAUGAACUACCUGUUAACAUUUUU
RNAcentral lists this long non-coding RNA (1001 nucleotides) under Mytilus galloprovincialis (Mediterranean mussel). Lineage: Eukaryota; Metazoa; Mollusca; Bivalvia; Mytilida; Mytilidae. The record is from RNAcentral.